CGAUGACGAAGACAACGGCGACGAGUUUGAUAUGAUCGAUUUGGGGCCAAUCUUGGUCUGUAACCCAGUCCAUGAAAGAACAGCCGAGUGGACUGAUGAAAAUGAAUCCUUCCUCUGAG
Molecule: unclassified non-coding RNA, 119 nt
Filed under: Podospora anserina S mat+
Lineage: Eukaryota; Fungi; Ascomycota; Sordariomycetes; Sordariales; Podosporaceae
Source: RNAcentral